UACAGAGGUCUCAAGCGUUGUUCGGAUUCACUGGGCGUAAAGGGUGCGUAGGCGGUCGGGUAAGUCUGGCGUGAAAUCUCCAAGCCUAACUUGGAAACUGCGUUGGAUACUAUCCGGCUCGAGGAAUGGAGGGGAGACUGGAAUACUUGGUGUAGCAGUGAAAUGCGUAGAUAUCAAGUGGAACACCAGUGGCGAAGGCGAGUCUCUGGACAUUUUCUGACGCUGAGGCACGAAAGCCAGGGGAGCAAACAGG
This 253-nucleotide ribosomal RNA is filed under the name uncultured bacterium. RNAcentral describes it as "partial 16S ribosomal RNA". It matches the Rfam family "Bacterial small subunit ribosomal RNA", at positions 524 to 776 of the family's 1533-position model. The record is from RNAcentral.